CCUACGGGAGGCAGCAGUGGGGAAUAUUGGGCAAUGGGCGUAAGCCUGACCCAGCAACGCCGCGUGAGGGAAGAAGGCUUUCGGGUUGUUAACUUCUUUUAUCAGGGACGAAGCGAGUGAGGGUACCUGAUGAAUAAGCCACGGCUAACUACGUGCCAGCAGCCGCGGUAAUACGGAGGUGGCAAGCGUUAUCCGGAUUUACUGGGUGUAAGGGGCGUGUAGGCGGGAGUGCAAGUCAGCUGUGAAAACUAUGGGCUCAACCCAUAGCUUGCAUUUGAAACUGUACUUCUUGAGUGCUUGAGAGGCAGUCGGAAUUCGGGGUGUAGCGGUGAAAUGCGUAGAUAUACGGAGGAACACCAGUGGCGAAGGCGGAUUGCUGGACAGUAACUGACGCUGAGGCGCGAAAGCGUGGGGAGCAAACAGGAUUAGAUACCCUUGUAGUC
This 443-nucleotide ribosomal RNA is filed under the name uncultured bacterium. RNAcentral describes it as "partial 16S ribosomal RNA". It matches the Rfam family "Bacterial small subunit ribosomal RNA", at positions 338 to 795 of the family's 1533-position model. The record is from RNAcentral.